CUACCUUGUUACGACUUCACCCCAGUCAUGGAAUCCUACCGUGGUAAUCGCCCUCCUUACGGUUAGGCUAACUACUUCUGGUAAAACCCACUCCCAUGGUGUGACGGAGCGUUGUCGCCUGCAGACCCACGGGCAUCAUUACACGGCGCCAUUGCUGAUCCCGCGGGUCUAGCGAUUCCCGACUUCACGCAGUCGCGUUGCAGACUGAUCCGGACUACGAUCGGGUUUCUGGGAUUGGCUGCCUUCCCCCUCGCGGGUUGGCGACCCUAUGUCCCGACCAUUGUAUGACAUUGUGACCCUACCCAUAAGGGCCAUGAGGACCGACGUCAUCCCCACCUUCCUCGGUUUGUCACCGGCAGUCUCGAUGAGUGCCUUUCGUAGCAACUAAUGACAAGGACCGCUCGUUGCGGGACUUAACCCGAACCAUCUCCGACCCGAUGACGACAGCCAUGCAGCACCUAAUUCCGGUUCUCUUACAAGAAACACUCACCCAAAUCUCUUCGGGAUUCCAGACAUGUCAAGUGGAGUAAGGUUUUCGCGUUAUCAGAUUAAUCCCACAUCAUCCACAUGGUAACACGGAGUCCCCGGAAAUCAAUUCCGGCACGAGUUUUAAUCUUGAAACCGUACUCCCCAGGCGGUCAACUUCACGCGUUAGCUGCGCCCUGCGACCCCGAAGGCCCCAACAGCUGGUUAAGCAUCGUUUUGAGGCGUGGACUACCAGGGUAUCUAAUCAUAAUUUGCUCCCCACUUUAGUAUGACGUCAGUGUUAUCCAGGAGGCUGCCUUUGUGUCCGGUGUUCCUCCGCAUAUCUGCAUUCCUGCUACACGCAGAAUUCCACCUCCCUCUGACACACUCUAGCUCGGUAGUUAAAAAUACGGUUCAAAGUUGUCUGGGAUUUCACAUCUUUCUUUCCGAACCGCCUGCGCACGCUUCCGCCCAGUAAUUCGAUUAACGCUUGCACCUACGUAUUGCCAGCUGCGGCUUUGUGAUUAGCAAGUGCUUAUUCUGAGUACCGUCGUUGCCUGGUGUCCUCGUGCCGUUUCUUCUCUGCAGAAGGUCUUUUGUGACCUUCUGUCUUGCGGAUGGCGCCGGAUCAGGUUUCCCAUUGUCCAGUUCCCCACUGCCUUUCCACCGUGAGUCAGGCCGUCAGUCCCAGUGUGGAAACAGUCGUCCUCUCAAACCUGGCUACGGAUCGUCGCCGGUGAGCCGUUACCCACCAACUUCUUUAAUCCGAUAUCAGCCGCUCUAUUAGUGCAUUAAAGGUCCCCACUUUCCCGAGAAGAGUAAUAUGCACGGUAUUAGCUACGCUUUCGCAUAGUUAUCCCCAUAAGGCGUUCCGAUACAUUUCUCACCGGACCUUUAUUUACUCGCCACCAGACCAAAGUCCAGCUAUGCCGUUCAGGCUUGCAUGUGUAAACAUCCCACCCCUUCAGCGUUCAAUCUGAGCCAGGAAUCGAACC
This 1460-nucleotide ribosomal RNA is filed under the name uncultured Bordetella sp. RNAcentral describes it as "partial 16S-23S ribosomal RNA intergenic spacer". Lineage: Bacteria; Pseudomonadati; Pseudomonadota; Betaproteobacteria; Burkholderiales; Alcaligenaceae. The record is from RNAcentral.